AGAUCAUCUUCUUGGGAUGAUUGGAGCCGUCCUUGAAAUACCACCCUGAUAAUGUGAGAAUUCUAACUUUUCGCUGUGAAUCCAGCUGAAGGACAGUUUCAGGUGGUCAGUUUGACUGGGGCGGUCGCCUCNCAAAAGGUAACGGAGGCGUACAAAGGUUUCCUC
RNAcentral lists this ribosomal RNA (165 nucleotides) under uncultured eukaryote. RNAcentral's name for it is "partial large subunit ribosomal RNA". It matches the Rfam family "Bacterial large subunit ribosomal RNA", at positions 2161 to 2323 of the family's 2925-position model. The record is from RNAcentral.